Long non-coding RNA from Armigeres subalbatus, 498 nucleotides. RefSeq lists it as uncharacterized. The record is from RefSeq and is a predicted model, not a curated record. The transcript is spliced from 3 exons. NCBI's taxonomy places the organism in Eukaryota, Metazoa, Arthropoda, Insecta, Diptera, Culicidae.
GAUACACAAACGUCCAAGCAAACGUCAGAUCGCGCGGCACUGCUCUAUGUUUUUGUUUUUCUUUCCUGUUGAUGGUGCGCGAAAUUUGUGCUGCUUUUUCUGUUAGUACGGCUACUUACAUUUCUGUACUUAUUAGAACUACGACUCGGAGAAACGGUGUCUAGACAAGCAUAUCUACAAGCAUAUAAAGCAUAUCAACUGAGGAAAGGCGAGCAAAAGGCACUACUGCAGACUGCAUCGUAUGUCACAAAAUCCGCCCAGUCCAGCUACUCGUAUAUAAAUUUUGGUGAAGUACGACGAUGAUGAAAAUGGAAAGAGCAACCAAAAAGCUGAUUCACUUCUGUGUAACUACGACGACAGCUUUAAAGAACGUAAGUUUUUGGCGCAAUUUUGUUACAACGACUCAACAGAAGCGAAUUCAGCAAGGUUAUGAGAGCAACAUUUAGCGUAUAUUCGGAUAUAAAGCUGGCUAAAAUUCUGAAUAAAUAAAAACAAGUG